Molecule: long non-coding RNA, 458 nt
Organism: Pipra filicauda (Wire-tailed manakin)
Lineage: Eukaryota; Metazoa; Chordata; Aves; Passeriformes; Pipridae
Exons: 3
Source: RefSeq, a predicted model, not a curated record
GGCAAAGAGCAAAGAUUUUUUUUUUCCUCAUGUUCUCAUCCCUUAGCUGGAAGAUGCUGCAACAGCUGUAUUCCUUCGGCUGCUAGCAAGAGGAAGCCCUACAGAGACCAUCUAAUGAUGCUUAACCAUACUGACCACCUGCACUAAAUAUAAUACAGGAAGAUGAUGGUAAGGACAGCAGAACAGAGAUGGAAUAAGAUGCCAGUUCCAUGCAGGUCACAUUUAGCUCCAGAUUGUUUUCACAUCAGAUUUAGCUGGCAUCAUAUCCUAGGAUUCUGCACUUGGAGUGAACCAGUUUACAGACUGAUGGAAAAAAACAAUGCUUAGUGAAGAAAGAAACACUUCAAAGAAUUUUCUUCCUUUAAUAUCCUUUAACAGGUCACUGAUGGUUGCCACCAUGAUUCUUCACUGUUUGUGGUCACUUACAGAGCUGCAGGUGCAAAACAGACCUUUUAAUC